Molecule: long non-coding RNA, 3168 nt
Filed under: Homo sapiens (human)
Lineage: Eukaryota; Metazoa; Chordata; Mammalia; Primates; Hominidae
Description: HSALNT0293527
Source: RNAcentral
GGAAUUGCUUGUCAACUGAGACAUGCGAGGGGUGGCAGGGAAGGGCAGAAGUAGGAAAAGCAGCAGCACAGCAAGCAGCAGGCCACUUCCCGGGCACGGUUACUAAGGCACGUGACCAUGGUGAGGAGGAUCCUCAGGACCCGGCUGGAGCUGCCUGCAGCCACCCGGGGACUCGGUCUGUGCCUCUUGACCUCCCCUCCAUCACCACAAACCCAGAAAGGGGCAACCUGCCCAGACUGCAAGUGACUAAAUGGGCACUCCAUGGCAUCUUAGCAACUCUCCUGCCCCAGGCCUCUGUGGGCAGCAAGAAAGCCAGAGCUAUCUAGGAUAAAACCCAGGAGGCAGCAUGUGGAGAUAAUGGGCGGUCUGACUCACCGCAAUCUGGCAGAUAAAGAGGAUACAACGCAGAGCGUACCAGCGCGCCCAGGUGGUCAAAAUAGUAACAUUUGCUCAUAUCCUCUUUUCAGGCAGCGACCUACCUGCUCCCAUAACUCUAAAUCUAAGGUUCCUUGAUCAGGAAACCAAGGGCAUCCCUGCCGAAUUAAAAGCAUAAGCUUGUGUAGAGCUCCAGGCUCUACAGUGCACUGGAUAGCCUUAAGUAGCUGUUGCACUGUUUUAAAAAAUACUUUCUGUUCUUUGGUCAUUUCCUGACCCAUGAUGACCCAACCCCUGGUAUUUUACGCGUGGGUCCCGUCCUCCUAAUGGCAAUCAGGACUGUCCCUUACUGGGAUUCCCCAAAAAUUAAGGAGUUUUCCUCCUUCACGUGCAACUUCAAGGCGAUCACUUCGGGCGCACCACUUGUAGAGUUUAUAGCUUGCAGUGAACGCCCAGAAUGAGUUCUCAGACAAUUCCAGCUGAGCGGAGCGGCGGACCACUCUUCUGAGAGAGUGUCACCCCAGAAUCCAUCCGCCAAGUAUUUAUUGAAAGGGCUUGUUAAACUACAAACAUCCACUAGAUGGCCUCUUGAGGUCGGGUCGUGACACACCUGUGGCCUUCUAAAAGCAUUCAAACCACAUUCUCAGGAGGCUGUUUUCAGCGUUCCUCAUGACACACUCCACUCCUUGUCCUGUUUUCAGGGUCAAGGAGUUACAUUUCCAUGCACAAAUAACAUACACACAGUGCCUCCGUCUUUUUCCAUGCCCCGACCUCAAAUGCUUUGUAUACAAGCUUGAAUUUGUUGCCAUGCACCCCCAACAACCCUCUGCCCAUUUGGCUGGCAAAGCAACUGGUUGUGCCCUCAAUAAACAGUACUGACUUUGGGAACAUCAGGGUCUUCCUAGUCUUGGAACUCUCUACUGUUCAGUUUUUAUAACAAAUUUAUAUGUAAGAAAUACGGGUCCUAGGAAACAGCCUGAAGGACAUGCAAUCCAUUCACUCCAAAUUUUACCUCUGGGGCAAGCUCAAGAGCUAAUUGCUAGGCCCGCAUUUUUUGGGUCCCUGUAUAAUUGCCUUUCCUGAACAAUGCUGUGGUGUUACUCCUUUGGCUUACAGUGAAGGAAGUAAUUAGCCCUAUAUUAAACUUGUUGUUAUGAUUACUAUACGGUUGCUGCUUUGGCUGCGGCCCUUAACAUCACAGUGCCCUAAUAAACUGAGGAUCCACAGAUAAAACUUCUUGUGGGUCUCACGACUAGGAAAAGCCAUGCUUCUCCUGAGCUGCUUCUGGCUUGCUUUUCACUAUAGACUCUGUUAAUCUUGUUACUAUAUACACUUCAUUUGUCCUACCUACUUGUCACAAAGUGAAAUAUGUGACUUGGCUGUAGCAAUUGUACAGAACAUUAUAUUAUGCAUUUGAUGUGGUGGUUUUCCCUCUAGUUUUUUUCCCCCAUGUAUUCUUUAUAGGUUUAUACCUGAGCACUUCUUCUAGUUUUUAUUAUAUAUUUUAUUUCUUUAUUUUUAUGUUUAUUGCAUGUAUCACUAAGAUGGCUCAAAUCUGGUUUUGAAAUAAGAAAGGUCUACAAAUAAAGAAAUUUUGGGUCUACGCAGAAAUGAUAUGCUAGAUAUUUUGUUUUCAAUCAUAAAGAGAGCCACCCACAUCUUGAACUCAUUGUACUAAUAACUGGGAACUCGAAACAAUUUUCACAGGACUAUCUACACCUACAGGCACUGGAAUCUGUGACUAGUCCUUCACGAGGACUGCCAUAGUGCUAGGCCUACACUUCCAACCCUUUUUCCUCUUCUUCUCCUUCCCCUUUCAUUUGUUAUGCUGCUGGUCUUUCUCACACUUAUUAAGGGCUUCGUGCGGUUCUUAAAGACUCCCUUCUCAAGCAUAUCUCUGAGCAUAUCUGCCUCCUGAUUUCAAAAAUAAAUCCUCAAAUGCUCUUUUUAGUAUACAGGAAAAAGGCCAAUGCUUACUCAUCUUUCUAUCCUUAGAACCUAGCAUUGGCCUGGAAAAUAAUAAGCAGCUGGUGAACAUUUGUUGAAAGAACUGAAUUACAUUAAAUAAACUAAUGCACAUAAGGCAUUAGUUGGGCCCUUGGACAAAGUACACAAUAAAUGUUUAUUUCUCAAUCACUUUCCCUUCACACCUGGCCUGAAGCUACCUUUCCCACCUUAUCCCCACUGCCAUGGCUUAAAGCAUCACUAACUCUUGUAAUUUCAUGCACAUAACGUUCAUUUCUGUGCCUAGGGAAUUUUCAUUGUGCUGUUCUUUCUUUCUUCAAUGCCAUCUCUUCCUUAAAUGCACCAUCAUUGCUCAAAUUUAGAGAAAAUAAGACAUAUUCCUAGUGAUGCUGGUCCAAAACUCCUAUAAAACAAGUCAUGUCUUUUAUAUUUAAAUAAUUUAGAUUGGCUUUUCUUCACCAAAAGAAAUCAAACAACUUUUAGCAACUCUGUUAGAUUUCUGCAAUUGCAUGUUGUUUUUAACUGGCAAAGCUCCUUAAAACAAAUAAAAACAUACUUCCAUUUAUUGAUGCAAGCCCUGUUUCUUUCUAGUAUUCAAAUUCAUUAAUAAAAGACUCAAUGAUUAUUAAAUUUUUGGGUUUGAAUGGAUAGUUUUUAUGCAUGUAUACCCAGUUGUUUAGCAUUUUAUUUUAUCGCCCCCUACAGGAAGUCUAAAAUACAUUUAGUAUAUCGCCCCCUACAGGAAUACAUUUAGUAUAAAUGUACUAUAUACAUUUAGUAUAUCGCCCCCUACAGGAAGUCUAAAAUACAUUUUAGAAAAUUUUAUAA